UCUAAGACUUUUUGGCUAGUAUAUAAACAACGGUCCCUGCUAACCCUAGACACGACAACUAAGGCUUCCCAUAGAGCAUUGUCAUAAAGUUAGGAGUUUACAGAAGAGUUGGUGUUUCUGUUUGUCACGGCAAACAUAAAGAUUGGAGUUUUAUCGAUGACGUCUUGCUUGCAUGGCUACUGCAUCUUCGGUAACUACCAUUGGAAUCAGGUCAGUCACUCUUCAUUUGUGUUUUAAUUGUAUAACCUUAUAAGGCUUACAGUUGGUAUCAGAACCAUUGGUUAUAUGAUUAAAACCUAUUAGGUUUGAAGUUUGAUUCUAUAAUAUUAUUCUUUUUGGACUGCGAUUUUGAUCUUAAAUCCAAAUUGUGAUUCUAUUCGGCAACAUCACCAUGUUGGACCUGCUUGAAAACUGCAUAUUGUACGUUUCCGCAUAUAAUUGCAUAUACAUGGCAUAUUAGUAUGAUAUGCACAGCACAAGUUUUACAUCAGUUCCUAUUUGGUCUUAGAGACCGAAAUUAUCAGUUAAAUAAAACGAUUACAGAAUUGGAUAAUCUGUUUCUAUGAGUGGUGUCUGUCGAGUUCAAGUUUUCUUCCACCGUCACCACCCUUCAAAUCCAUACGUGGGCUUUUCUAAUUGAAGCACUUAAUGAUGAUAUUGAAUUAACUAUAAUAAAGGAAGAUUGAUAUAGUUGGUUCAUUAUUUUAUGAAAUUGUAUAAUUGGAAUACCAUGAUGCUUAACGUUUUCUAUUUCACAUAUGCAUCGCAUAUGAGAUCUUGAUGGAGGUGGGUUAAGGAGCGGAUAAAGCCAACGAACCAUGUCGAGGCAUAAAGACACCGUCGUCCAACAUAAGACAAGUCAUGGACGUCACCUCCCAAGACAUGUGUAGCCUUGCAGGAAAUCACAUAUUUUGCUAUCGGAUAUAUCACUCAUAAAUUGGUAAACUAAUAAUUGUUGCAUGGUAGGUUUUCAAGCACUUCAAGCUUUCUUUCUUGUAUUCAGUUCUCAUAAAGAAAGAUUGGAACAGUUUGCUCAUCUUUACUAAAUUAAUUAUGACUGGAAGAAGAUGGCAUGCUUUAAGCUUUCUAUUUCGAUAUUCAUGCCAAUGUUUUGGUUGAAUUGAUUUAGUGGUAGAUACAACUAUUUUGGCUAACGUUGUUGUCAAUUUUGUAAGCAUAUAGAAAUAUGUACUUUUGUACUAAUCUUGCCAAGAAAGACUAUGAAGCAUCUCAAGUCAGCAAGAUCGGUAAAGUCUCCUAUCAAAGCAAACAAUAUUGAUCAUUAUAUGUGUCAAUUGCGAAUUAAUUAGUUGAUCAUGCAUAUGGUUAUUUUUUAUUAUUAAGUUUUUAAACUUGGUUAUCAAAACAAAGAGAAAAUAUAUGUUUUGAACAUGAUAAAUUCUACUAUGCAUAUAAAAGGCAUACCGAGAAGCAUAUGUAAAUAUGCAUAAAUUAUUUUACUUGUUUUUUAGACUUUAUUCUGUCAAGAUAGUCUGGAUGUUUCGGCACUAGUAGUCUAUUGCACUGUUUUUCAUGGGUAACAUAAAUUCAUGGAAAUAAAUUUUGAAUCAGUUUUGUUACAUGAUAAUGUGUAGACCGAAUGUAAUUGCCAUGUCAUUGGUUGCUAUGGGAAGUAAUCAAUAUGGAUUAAAAUUUUAAGUUUUGCAAACAUGUAGCAAAAUUGACAUAUGGCGUGUUUUAAAGGGAUUGGGUUGUCCUAUAUUGCUUUAAGCUUGAGAUGAUCUUAUGUAAAGAUACAAAUGUGUUGAUUAGUAAUGCAGCAUACUAGCACUUAAGUAUGAUUGAGGAUUCAUUCAAGUACGGUUUAUAAUGAUAUUAACUCCAUAAGGAAUUUGCAUGACUAAUCAAAUUAGUUUUGUUUACAAUUUUGCUUUUCUAUCUCAGUAUAGUCAUUUAAUUGUACAUGACUAGUUAACUAUGAAAUUGAUGCAUAACUUGUGGAUUGACUGAGAGUGACAGAAAGCAUCUGGUGGCAAGAACAAGGACAUUAUACAUAUGAAUGAGGUUUGCAGUAAUUAUGUGACACUUCUCAUUUGUAUUAUAUUUAUUCUUAUAUGAGAAUUAUGGUGGUCAUGUGAUUAUAUAUAUGUUUACAAAGAAGUGGUGAACAUAUGAAGGCAUGAGGUAUGUAAUCCAUUCAAAGUAUGUAGCUUAAUUGAUAAGCAUGAAUUUUCAAACAUGUAUUAUUGUUUGUGGUUUUUCCUAUGCCUAAAGAAUUUAAACAGUGCUUUGAUUAGUAAAUUUUAUGUGUCAUAAGGGGAGAAGAAAAACAAGUUUUCAAGGCUAAUGUAGGGCACAUAUUGGAGAUGUUUUCUAUGGAAGAAAAUAAUUUUGGUUGUUCCUUUUAUUUAAUUUGGUAUUUACAAAGCUAAUGCAUGAUUUUAAUGCUAUGUUUAGUAGUUGUACUACGGAAAGAAAUAUAUAAAAGGAAAGGAACCCGUUUGAUAUAUAUUUGAGCAAUUUAGUUUUUAAAUUAAAGGAAUGUAUUGUUCUUUCCCAUUACAUAAAGUAUUUCUAUUGAGUAAUUGACUCCAUAAUGAUAAGUUUUGACAUUCUUGUGGUGGAAUAAAACUUGUUCUAUAUGUGAUUAAUCUCUUUCAAGUAUGCUGUCAGGUAUUUUUGAGAUUAAUUUGAUGUCAAAGGGAGUCAUGAAGGAAUUAGUGCCAUUUGUUGGCAAAAACUCAAAGCUCGAAUCAGGUUAUCAUAAUUUUGUCACUUACAGUUAAUUAAUCCAUGUGACUUCUUGUAUUGUUUCAGGGCGGAGUUGACCAAUGCCUUUUCAACUAAGCAAGACACAACGGCUUAGUUUGCAAUGGGACUAUGUUUUUGAGUUACUUCGGUCAACUUUGCAUCUUAAUUAGAAUAAAAGGGAUAAUCUUCUUGCCUACAGGUGUGGAUUACUUCUUUUAGUUUAAUUAAGAUGGCAUAGUAUGAGUUUUAUUUCACAGAAGUUGUGAAAACCUUCAUCUUGCCUACAGGUGUUGAAGUUUUUCAUGAAGGAACUUUUGUGACAUAAAAUCUAGUACUAGAAACUAGUUAAUUUUCUUGCCUACAGGUGUAAAUUAAUUUAGUUUCAUGAAGUUUAUUGGGAUAAAGUUUCAUACCAUUAGUGACAAAUAUUUCCACAAUGAGCCCCAUAAAAGGUUGUGGUUUGAAGGCAUGGAAAUCGGUUGCAUCAUGAUGUAUUUUGUAUCUCUUUAUGAGACUUGUUGAUGCAAAGUAUUGGACCCAUGAAGGUUAAUCAAUGAUUGCUAAGGAACGCAUUGUUUAAGUCUUAUGCUUGUAAAUCUUUUCAAUUUGAAUUAUGAUGUCGGUUUAGAGGAUGAAAUUUGACUACUAAGGUUUCUUUUGGACAUCGAAAUUGAAAUGAAAUGAAAUUGAAUUUGUUAUGGAUAUAUAAAUUCAUGAUAGAUGCACAUAAUUGUUUCUGGCAGAUUGCGUGUCUUGAUUUAAAUCGGGUGAAUGACACGUCUAAUGAUCACCAAAUGACCUGAAUUUUGGAUAUGUUCAACAUAUAAAUGUCUACUAUGUGUCUGAAAAUUUUCGUAAUUUUCUGCCAUGUAUGUUAAUUAUGGUGAAUUUACUAGUAACCCAUGCUCGUAUAGACAGUUUUUACUGGCAGAUUGUGAUGUUUUUUGAGACGUGACUUUAGACUACUAUUUUGACCCAAAAUGGCUCUGUAUUUCUAUUUUAUGAAGAUUAGUAUGUCUAUUUUGAUCAAUAUAAAUUGGUAGCAAUUAAGCUUGUAAAUUAAUUAUGAUAAAUUCUAAAGUAAGUGUAACUCAUUGCUGAAAUUCUGUUUGACAACUUUAUGUUGGUUGUGAUGUCUAUUUUAUUAUGUCUAAUAUAUAAAGACAUUUUCUUUAGGUACAUCUUUGAAAGAAUAUAUUAACGAGUGUUUGCCCAAGUGGGAGAAUUAGUGAACGAAAAUUGGGCUUCACACUCAUUAACUUAUUUGCAAGUAUAAACUCUGAAAACUUAGUGAGAGUUGUUCUAAAAUUUUGAGCACUAAGUGGACUUGCAUGAAUCUAUUAAAGUAUUAUUCUAUCUUCCAUGAAAUUGGGUUACUCGAAUAUCCAUAAUAUGUUUAAGUUGCACGAGUGGAUACUUGGUAUAUGCGUACAUUUUUCUGUUACUUGCAAUCAUUUGGAUUUCUCAGUUGAUCAUUUGUUUUGGGGCUCAUAAGGACUUAGCAUAAAUGUGGACUUAUUAAUACAUAUAAGAUGGUUGUUGGAUGCAUGUUUUGUGUAAUAGCAGUGAAUGCUUUCAUGCUUAGUUGUACCUUUCUUAUGGAGGUAAUAUGCAUCCAUUGACUAAGUAAGGCUAUUCCCAAAGGCAUAUUUUCAAAAGUAUGAUUUAUGUAUUGAUUUGCAAAUUAAGCAAUGAUGUUGCAGAUCAAUGGGAGUUUGGGUUUCGUGUUAGUAAUGCCUUACAUUUGCAGAUGACCUAUAAGGUAUGUAUAGAAUCCAUGUAUUCAAUUUAAUCUCCAGUUGGAUUCAUUAAGUCACAUUUUUUGUGUGCUAGUCAAUUAUCUGAUGAAAUAUAUAUCAGAUAUCAAGUUGUUAUCCAAUUGCAUAUUAAAUGGCAUGGCAUGGUUUGUGCACUACCUCAGUUAUGAGGAUUUCCAUCUUGCCCGCAGGUGUUGGAAAUCAUUAUGAAAGUAACUGGUAUGGUACAUAGAUCAGUGUCAAAAACAUAUUAAUUCAUCUUGCUCACAAGUGUUGAAUUAAUUUGUUUUAUGAAGUUUUUUGGGAUAUUUUACUUGGACAUGUGCCUAUUUGGUAUUUUCAGUUGUGUCCGUUGGCUACAAACAUUGUUUGUAUUAUUAUUGAUCUAAUGAAAGUGAUGCAUGAUUGUUUUGGAGAUGUAUUCACACAUGCAAGUUAUUGUGGUUUCAUUAGAUGAAGGAUAUCUGCAUUGGCAGAUUUAAG
Molecule: long non-coding RNA, 4952 nt
Filed under: Malus domestica (apple)
Lineage: Eukaryota; Viridiplantae; Streptophyta; Magnoliopsida; Rosales; Rosaceae
Description: long non-coding RNA (MDOM_LNC008891)
Source: RNAcentral